RNAcentral lists this ribosomal RNA (464 nucleotides) under uncultured bacterium. RNAcentral describes it as "partial 16S ribosomal RNA". It matches the Rfam family "Bacterial small subunit ribosomal RNA", at positions 29 to 507 of the family's 1533-position model. The record is from RNAcentral.
ACGAACGCUGGCGGCGAGCUUAACACAUGCCAGUCGAACGGAAAGGCCCCUUUGGGGGUACUCUAGUGGCGAACGGGUGAGGAACACGUGAGUAACCCGCCCUUGACUUCGGGAUAACUUCAGGAAACUUGGGCUAAUACCGGAUAGGAAUCCUUGCUGCAUGGGGGGGGUUGGAAAGCUUCUGCGGUUUUGGAUGGACUCGCGGCUUAUCAGCUUGUUGGUGGGGUAGUGGCUUACCAAGGCUUUGACGGGUAGACGGCCUGUGAGGGCGACCGGCCACAUUGAGACUGAGAUACGGCACAGACUCCUACGGGAGGCAGCAGUGGGGAAUAUUGCACAAUGGGCGGAAGCCUGAUGCAGCAACGCCGCGUGCGGGAUGACGGCUUUCGGGUUGUAGACCGCUUUCAGCAGGAGCGAAGCUUGUGGUGACGGUACCUGCAGAAGAAGCACCGGCUAACUACGUG